GAUGAACGCUGGCGGCGUGCCUAAUACAUGCCAGUCGAGCGAACAGACGAGGAGCUUGCUCCUCUGACGUUAGCGGCGGACGGGUGAGUAACACGUGGAUAACCUACCUAUAAGACUUGGAUAACUUCGGGAAACCGGAGCUAAUACCGGAUAAUAUAUUGAACCGCAUGGUUCAAUAGUGAAAGACGGUUUUGCUGUCACUUAUAGAUGGAUCCGCGCCGCAUUAGCUAGUUGGUAAGGUAACGGCUUACCAAGGCAACGAUGCGUAGCCGACCUGAGAGGGUGAUCGGCCACACUGGAACUGAGACACGGGACAGACUCCUACGGGAGGCAGCAGUAGGGAAUCUUCCGCAAUGGGCGAAAGCCUGACGGAGCAACGCCGCGUGAGUGAUGAAGGUCUUCGGAUCGUAAAACUCUGUUAUUAGGGAAGAACAAAUGUGUAAGUAACUAUGCACGUCUUGACGGUACCUAAUCAGAAAGCCACGGCUAACUACGUG
RNAcentral lists this ribosomal RNA (497 nucleotides) under uncultured bacterium. Its description in RNAcentral is "partial 16S ribosomal RNA". It matches the Rfam family "Bacterial small subunit ribosomal RNA", at positions 28 to 507 of the family's 1533-position model. The record is from RNAcentral.